Molecule: ribosomal RNA, 402 nt
Filed under: uncultured bacterium
Lineage: Bacteria
Also listed under: 1 other name
Description: bacterial SSU rRNA
Rfam family: Bacterial small subunit ribosomal RNA
Source: RNAcentral
UGGGGAAUAUUGGACAAUGGGCGAAAGCCUGAUCCAGCAAUGCCGCGUGAGUGAUGAAGGCCCUAGGGUUGUAAAGCUCUUUUACCCGGGAUGAUAAUGACAGUACCGGGAGAAUAAGCUCCGGCUAACUCCGUGCCAGCAGCCGCGGUAAUACGGAGGGAGCUAGCGUUGUUCGGAAUUACUGGGCGUAAAGCGCGCGUAGGCGGUUUUCCAAGUCAGGGGUGAAAGCCCGGGGCUCAACCCCGGAAUAGCCCUUGAAACUGGAAGACUAGAAUCUUGGAGAGGUCAGUGGAAUUCCGAGUGUAGAGGUGAAAUUCGUAGAUAUUCGGAAGAACACCAGUGGCGAAGGCGACUGACUGGACAAGUAUUGACGCUGAGGUGCGAAAGCGUGGGGAGCAAACA